This 418-nucleotide unclassified non-coding RNA is filed under the name Clostridium hydrogeniproducens. Its description in RNAcentral is "partial 16S-23S ribosomal RNA intergenic spacer". The stretch from base 231 to 418 matches the Rfam family "Bacterial large subunit ribosomal RNA", at positions 1 to 189 of the family's 2925-position model. The record is from RNAcentral. Lineage: Bacteria; Bacillati; Bacillota; Clostridia; Eubacteriales; Clostridiaceae.
UAGCCUUAGGAGAACCUGCGGCUGGAUCACCUCCUUUCUAAGGAGUCGACAUGAAAACGCAGUUUUCAUGAAGGUUCAUUCUUAUCUCUGUUUAAUUUUGGGAAUUCAAUAUUCUCUAUUGUACUUUGAAAAUUGCAUAGUAAGUAAAGUUAUUUUUAAAUUAAGUUAAGGCAAAGUCUAACUUUGUAAUUGAUUUAAUAUGAUAUAUUUUUUCGAAUAUAUUCUUUAAAGGUCAAGCUACAAAGGGCACAUGGUGAAUGUCUUGGCACCAGAAGUCGAAGAAGGACGCGAUAAGCUGCGAUAAGCUUCGGGUAGGCGCAAAUAGCCUGUGAUCCGGAGAUUUCCGAAUGGGGAAACCCUCAUGAUUAACAUCAUGAACUGUAUGCUGAAUUCAUAGGUAUACAGGGGCACACCCGGG